GCCGACCUCAAGUUACCAGCUCGAUGCUCUCCACACGCCCGCCAUUUAGCGUGGCGAAGAAGUUCGGGAAAUUACACACUAUUUCUAUCAGGAAAUGUGUCUUCUCGCCUGUGGUACCGAGCCGCCAGCUAGCUGCUAGCUAAUGUAAACAACAUGGGUAGCCCGAAGAGAAGAGCGUCCUGGGCUCGGAGGGAAACGCAUGCAGAUAACCGUUAGCGAUCAGUCUGGUUUACACGCUCCCAGGAAGUCGAUGAGAGUCACCGCUGACGUGGGCACGCCGUAGUCUGGCCAGCUGAGGUACUGGAAGUG
This is a non-coding RNA of Poecilia reticulata (guppy), 309 nucleotides long. The record is from RefSeq and is a predicted model, not a curated record. Lineage: Eukaryota; Metazoa; Chordata; Actinopteri; Cyprinodontiformes; Poeciliidae.